Molecule: ribosomal RNA, 253 nt
Filed under: uncultured bacterium
Lineage: Bacteria
Description: partial 16S ribosomal RNA
Rfam family: Bacterial small subunit ribosomal RNA
Source: RNAcentral
UACGGGGGGGGCAAGCGUUGUUCGGAAUUACUGGGCGUAAAGGGUUUGUAGGUGGCUUGCUAAGUCAGACGUGAAAUCCCUCAGCUUAACUGGGGAACUGCGUCUGAUACUGGCGAGCUUGAGUGCAGGAGAGGAACGCGGAAUUCCAGGUGUAGCGGUGAAAUGCGUAGAUAUCUGGAGGAACACCGGUGGCGAAGGCGGCGUUCUGGACUGUAACUGACACUGAGAAACGAAAGCUAGGGGAGCAAACGGG